GUAUAAUCUAUUUUAUUAUCAUUAUUUUUCAGUUUGUAAGUGCUUUAUUGGACAAAAAGUUACAAAGAAUGAGGAAACCAGGGCCAACAGCUUAAAAUGACUUGCCCAGAGUCAUCCAGCUAAUAAGGGUCUGAAGCCAGAUUUGAACUUAUGAAGAUGAAUCUUCCUGACUCCAGACUAGCACUCUAUCCACUGAUCUGCCUAGAUGCCCACUGUAAAUCAUAUGGUAUUACAUUUCAUUCUAAGAACUAUGGAAAACUAAGUGCAUCUUGAUGGUCCUGGGAAACUCUUGGAUGGAGGUUGCUCACUUCAUUAAUAGUCCUCUGGGAUCAUGGCCAGUCAUUAUUUUGAUCAGAAUUCUUAAGGCUUUCAAAGUUUAUUUUUAAAAUGUUAUUAUAUAAAUUGUUGUCCUGAUUCUUCUCACUUCACUCUGUGUCAGCUCAUACAGAUUUCCUUAGAUUGCUCUGAAAGAUAUCACAAUUU
Molecule: long non-coding RNA, 483 nt
Filed under: Monodelphis domestica (gray short-tailed opossum)
Lineage: Eukaryota; Metazoa; Chordata; Mammalia; Didelphimorphia; Didelphidae
Description: lncRNA (ENSMODG00000046148.1)
Source: RNAcentral